GCCUCUAUGAUGUUGCCCUCGGGGCUGAAGAGGCUCCGUUUGGCCGUGAAGGACGACCACCACUACCAGGCUCUUCUUCCCACUCUGUCCUCGCUCCUUGGGCGGCUGCCGGAGCUGAGAGGCCUUGAGUUGCACGUGGCUGCGGGACAGGACGCGGCGCUGCUUCGGCCUCUGCCGGACGUGCGAUUCCUUUCCUUAUUUGUGUCCGGCGUCAAGGAAGCGCCGGUGGAGAGGACGAGUCGGGUCGUCCGGGCACUGCAGUCCCCAAGAGGGUACUCGAGGCUCCUCUUCCCUGGCGCGUUGGAGUGCGAGGAGGCGUUCGCUCGCCUCGUGGAGCAACUCGGCCGCGAGGGAGUCCGGCUGAGGGAGGCUGGGGGAGUGGUUGCAUCUCCCCGAAUCGACGAAGGAAAAGCAGGGCGGCUGGAAGGCCUCGUCAGAAGGGAGUUGGGCUGUGGCUUCGGGGCGUUGGACGAAGAAGCCAUCUGGAGGUUAGUUCCCCUUUCAUAAGUAAGAAUCAAGAGAGCAGAGUGAGUUUCCCUAAUUAAUAAAAAGAAAUAAAAUAAAAUAUAUAUUAGUUGUAAGGACGGCGAGUCCAGAGGACUGUGUGGCCAGAGGACUGCGAGGCCAAAGGACUGUGAGAUCAGAUGACUAUGAGGCCAGAGGACUGUGAGAUCAGAAGGCUGUGAGGCCAGAGGACUGUGAGAUCAGAGGACUGUGAAGCCAGAGGACUGCGAGGCCAGAGGACUGUGAAAUCAGAUGACUGUGAGGCCAGAGGACUGUGAGAUCAGAAGGCUGUGAGGCCAGAGGACUGUGAGAUCAGAGGACUGUGAGAUCAGAAGGCUGUGAGGCCAGAGGACUG
Molecule: unclassified non-coding RNA, 859 nt
Filed under: Penaeus japonicus
Lineage: Eukaryota; Metazoa; Arthropoda; Malacostraca; Decapoda; Penaeidae
Description: uncharacterized LOC122265040, transcript variant X1
Source: RNAcentral